GACGAACGCUGGCGGCGUGCUUAACACAUGCAAGUCGAACGGAAAGGCCCUGCUUUUGUGGGGUGCUCGAGUGGCGAACGGGUGAGUAACACGUGAGUAACCUGCCCUUGACUUUGGGAUAACUUCAGGAAACUGGGGCUAAUACCGGAUAGGAGCUCCUGCUGCAUGGUGGGGGUUGGAAAGUUUCGGCGGUUGGGGAUGGACUCGCGGCUUAUCAGCUUGUUGGUGGGGUAGUGGCUUACCAAGGCUUUGACGGGUAGCCGGCCUGAGAGGGUGACCGGCCACAUUGGGACUGAGAUACGGCCCAGACUACUACGGGAGGCAGCAGUGGGGAAUAUUGCACAAUGGGCGGAAGCCUGAUGCAGCAACGCCGAGUGCGGGAUGACGGCCUUCGGGUUGUAAACCGCUUUCGCCUGUGACGAAGCGUGAGUGACGGUAAUGGGUAAAGAAGCACCGGCUAACUACGU
This 467-nucleotide ribosomal RNA is filed under the name uncultured bacterium. RNAcentral describes it as "partial 16S ribosomal RNA". It matches the Rfam family "Bacterial small subunit ribosomal RNA", at positions 28 to 506 of the family's 1533-position model. The record is from RNAcentral.